GGUAAAUACGUGCCAGGGGGGGCGGGAAUACGGUGGUGGCGGUGGUUGGCCGGAAUUACUGGGGGUAAAGGGCGUGGAGGCGGGGAUGUAAGUCAGAUGUGAAAUUCCACGGCUUAACUGUGGCGCUGCAUCUGAAACUAGGUCUCUUGAGUGCUGGAGAGGAAAGCGGAAUUCCAAGUGUAGCGGUGAAAUGCGUAGAUAUUUGGAGGAACACCAGUGGCGAAGGCGGCUUUCUGGACAGUAACUGACGCUGAGGCGCGAAAGCGUGGGGAGCAAACAGGAUUAGAUACCCCGGUAGUC
This 300-nucleotide ribosomal RNA is filed under the name uncultured Bacillus sp. RNAcentral describes it as "partial 16S ribosomal RNA". It matches the Rfam family "Bacterial small subunit ribosomal RNA", at positions 495 to 795 of the family's 1533-position model. Lineage: Bacteria; Bacillati; Bacillota; Bacilli; Caryophanales; Bacillaceae. The record is from RNAcentral.